This 997-nucleotide ribosomal RNA is filed under the name uncultured bacterium. RNAcentral's name for it is "bacterial SSU rRNA". It matches the Rfam family "Bacterial small subunit ribosomal RNA", at positions 355 to 1375 of the family's 1533-position model. The record is from RNAcentral.
UGGGGAAUAUUGCACAAUGGGGGAAACCCUGAUGCAGCGACGCCGCGUGGAGGAAGAAGGUCUUCGGAUUGUAAACUCCUGUUGUUGAGGAAGAUAAUGACGGUACUCAACAAGGAAGUGACGGCUAACUACGUGCCAGCAGCCGCGGUAAAACGUAGGUCACAAGCGUUGUCCGGAAUUACUGGGUGUAAAGGGAGCGCAGGCGGGAGAACAAGUUGGAAGUGAAAUCCAUGGGCUCAACCCAUGAACUGCUUUCAAAACUGUUUUUCUUGAGUAGUGCAGAGGUAGGCGGAAUUCCCGGUGUAGCGGUGGAAUGCGUAGAUAUCGGGAGGAACACCAGUGGCGAAGGCGGCCUACUGGGCACCAACUGACGCUGAGGCUCGAAAGUGUGGGUAGCAAACAGGAUUAGAUACCCUGGUAGUCCACACCGUAAACGAUGAUUACUAGGUGUUGGAGGAUUGACCCCUUCAGUGCCGCAGUUAACACAAUAAGUAAUCCACCUGGGGAGUACGACCGCAAGGUUGAAACUCAAAGGAAUUGACGGGGGCCCGCACAAGCAGUGGAGUAUGUGGUUUAAUUCGAAGCAACGCGAAGAACCUUACCAGGUCUUGACAUCCGAUGCAUAACACAGAGAUGUGUGAAAUCCUUCGGGACAUCGAGACAGGUGGUGCAUGGUUGUCGUCAGCUCGUGUCGUGAGAUGUUGGGUUAAGUCCCGCAACGAGCGCAACCCUUAUUGCCAGUUACUACGUUAAGAGGACUCUGGCGAGACUGCCGUUGACAAAACGGAGGAAGGUGGGGAUGACGUCAAAUCAUCAUGCCCUUUAUGACCUGGGCUACACACGUACUACAAUGGCGUUAAACAAAGAGAAGCAAGACCGCGAGGUGGAGCAAAACUCAAAAACAACGUCUCAGUUCAGAUUGCAGGCUGCAACUCGCCUGCAUGAAGUCGGAAUUGCUAGUAAUCGCAGAUCAGCAUGCUGCGGUGAAUACGUUCCC